UUUCCGUAGGUGAACCUGCGGAAGGAUCAUUACCGUAAAACCGAGGUGCGAGGGCUGUCGCUGACCUUUUCGGUUGUUCACGCCCGAGCGCUCUCACACAGUCCAUCUCACCCCUUGUGCACCGCCGCGUGGGUCCCUGUCAGGCUCGUCCGGCGGGGCGCUCGCGUUUGCACACAAACUUGAAGUAGUGUAGCAUGUCCUUUUUUUGCGAUAACACGCAAUCAAUACAACUUUCAACAACGGAUCUCUUGGCUCUC
This 257-nucleotide unclassified non-coding RNA is filed under the name plant metagenome. RNAcentral describes it as "partial contains small subunit ribosomal RNA, internal transcribed spacer 1, and 5.8S ribosomal RNA". The record is from RNAcentral.